Molecule: long non-coding RNA, 522 nt
Filed under: Homo sapiens (human)
Lineage: Eukaryota; Metazoa; Chordata; Mammalia; Primates; Hominidae
Description: HSALNT0347703
Source: RNAcentral
CAGACUGAGAGCCCAAUGUCGUUGGAAACCACUGGGCCACAGGAAAGGCAGGCUCUCUCAGUCCUGCUCCUGCCAUGGAAGAAGCCUGCUCCCACCAUGCCUUCUGCCACGAGUAAAAGUUCCCUGAGGCCUCCCCAGAAGCAGAUGCUGUCGUGCUUCCUGUAUAGCUGCAGAACUACUUAUAGAUGGGGUCACACACCAUUCUACAAAGAGGGGAGUCUCUCCGUGAAAUGACUUGAACUUAUAAAGCGCAUUCUGCUAUGUGGUUGCCUCACCAACUCCCUUCCUGCCUGGACUAUUACAGUAACCUGUGGAUUGGUCUCCUUGCCUUGAGACGAUGACAUUUCUGGCACCUAAACCCAUCAGCAUCAAGUUGUUCUUUUGAAAACAUAAAUAUGACCAUGUUACAUGUUUUUAAACCUUUCAAUGGAAUACUUUCACCUACAGGAUAAUGUUUAGAUUUUUUAACAUGGCAUGCAUGACGCUUCACUCUCUGGCUUCCACACAUUCUCCAGAAUUACU